This 145-nucleotide microRNA precursor is filed under the name Gossypium hirsutum (cotton). RNAcentral's name for it is "MIR7502 microRNA precursor family". It matches the Rfam family "MIR7502 microRNA precursor family". RNAcentral also lists the same sequence under 1 other name. The record is from Rfam by way of RNAcentral. Lineage: Eukaryota; Viridiplantae; Streptophyta; Magnoliopsida; Malvales; Malvaceae.
AAUGAACAAAUUAGUCCAUGUGCUUUGUUAAAAACUGGCAAGGUUGAUAGAAUAAUCAGAUGGUGAUACGUGACAUGCCACAUGUACCCCAUGUUAAUGUACAAGGAUCAACUUUUAACAACAAAAAUGAAUGAAUUUUUUUUUU